RNAcentral lists this ribosomal RNA (270 nucleotides) under uncultured archaeon. Its description in RNAcentral is "partial 16S ribosomal RNA". It matches the Rfam family "Archaeal small subunit ribosomal RNA", at positions 477 to 747 of the family's 1478-position model. The record is from RNAcentral.
CAGCUCUCCGAGUAGUGUGGACGUUUAUUGGGCCUAAAGCAUCCGUAGCUUGCUAGAUAAGUCCUCUGUUAAAUCCACCGAUUCAAUCGUUGGAUUGCGGGGGAUACUGUUUGGCUAGGGGACGGGAGAGGUCGACGGUAUUUCCGGGGUAGGGGUGAAAUCCUAUAAUCCCGGGAGGACCACCAGUGGCGAAGGCUGUCGACUAGAACGCGCCCGACGGUGAGGGAUGAAAGCUGGAGGAGCGAACCGGAUUAGAUACCCGCGUAGUCC